Anolis sagrei ordinatus is the source of this 572-nucleotide non-coding RNA. The record is from RefSeq and is a predicted model, not a curated record. NCBI's taxonomy places the organism in Eukaryota, Metazoa, Chordata, Lepidosauria, Squamata, Anolidae.
CCCACCCCCUCACGCUCGCUUGGUGCCGCGGCCGCCAUCAUCCCCGUCGCCAGGACCGCCGCCGCAGCAGCAGCGCUCGCCUUCCCGCCACUUCCCCGCGCGCUCCCAACUGGGGGGCGGGAAGGGAGGGGGGAGGAGGAAGGAGGAGAGGCGGUUCCAGGAGAGGACGGCGAAAGAGGCAGUGGUUCGCUGAACAAAACAAAAAGAAGGCGUGGGCUGGUCCUGAAGAGCAACGCGGCUUUUGUGCGCAGGGGUAAGUUGAUCUUUCCACAUAAUGGCAAACAACAACUCAUAAAGUGUUUGGCUCAGAUAGGAACAAGUUACAGGUCUGUCAACAAACAGUAAGUAUAUGAGUUGUUCCUAGAGAAGCUGAAAAAGUUUUGGGUGUGUGUUUGUAUUUACAGGGAGAGUUUUUUAAAAACUUUAGGUUUAUGGAAGUCAUGUUAAGGGGGAAUAAUGUAGCCUAAACAUUUUUGAUUGAGUACAUAACAAAACUACGUGUGAUGAAGCUUGUGUUUUGCAUCACACUCCCAACAGUUUCAAGGCUUUGUUGUCCCGAAGACUUGUUUGAA